UAGGGAAUCUUCGGCAAUGGACGAAAGUCUGACCGAGCAACGCCGCGUGAGGGAAGAAGGUUUUCGUAUCGUAAAACUCUGUUGUUAGAGAAGAACAAAGACGUUAGUAACUGAACGUCCCCUGACGGUAUCUAACCAGAAAGCCACGGCUAACUACGUGCCAGCAGCCGCGGUAAUACGUAGGUGGCAAGCGUUGUCCGGAUUUAUUGGGCGUAAAGCGAGCGCAGGCGGUUUCUUACGUCUGAUGUGAAAGCCCCCGGCUUAACCGGGGAGGGUCAUUGGAAACUGGGAGACUUGAGUGCAGAAGAGGAGAGUGGAAUUCCAUGUGUAGCGGUGAAAUGCGUAGAUAUAUGGGGGAACACCAGUGGCGAAGGCGGCUCUCUGGUCUGUACCUGACGCUGAGGCUCGAAAGCGUGGGAAGCAAACAGG
This 429-nucleotide ribosomal RNA is filed under the name Gemmatimonadota bacterium. RNAcentral describes it as "Gemmatimonadetes bacterium partial 16S ribosomal RNA". It matches the Rfam family "Bacterial small subunit ribosomal RNA", at positions 355 to 776 of the family's 1533-position model. The record is from RNAcentral. Lineage: Bacteria; Pseudomonadati; Gemmatimonadota.